AUUUUUUUUAAAAUACUAUUUUAAAUUUUAUACUUUUACAUAUAACUUGGUAUGUUCCUAAUUGGUACAUGUUCUAUACAAUCAUAGAUGAAUAACUGUACAAAUUUUUUUGAUCUAAAUUUGUUCAAUGCAAAACUGAAAUGAAUAAAUUGUCAAAUAAAAUGUGUACAACAUGCGGUAAAAUGAACAAUUUUCCAAAAUCUAAGUGUAGCUUACAAUUAUCAGUCUUCAGAUACUAAAACACUUCACAAGUAAAAAAAUCUGUACCAUAUAUAUGUUUUCCAUAUGCUACAAAGUAAGAAGAGAUCAUCGAAUUUCACAAAAUAGAUGCCUCACUUUAAUAAUUGAUGACAGCAUGAUAUGACCAGAACAUGUCGACAUGGUUACAUUAGACAAAUGUAUACAAAUAUUUACUUUGGUGAAGGUAUCAAAUAUUAAACAACCAUAAUGGUACACAAUCAGAAUUGUUUAUGCCAUUUUCUUACAUUUUCAAUUUUAAUCUUGCUGGAAUAUAAAUGAUCAACAGAAGUUGCCUCCCUUAUGAUUUAGUUUGUGUAUAAUUUCUAAAUUGAAUUUCAUUACCAUUAAUUUGCAUGUACUUUAAAUAGAGAUGGCCUAUAAAAUACAUUAUUACACAACCAAACUGACACAACAUAAUAUUGCCUUGUUUGUUUUUUACUUGAAUUUCAUUGAGUUUUUUAAAUUUAGUUUGAAUAUUUUCACAUUUUAUUCAUAUGAUAUUUUCAUUCUUGUUUUUGUAUCAAUCUUGAUAGAAAUUGUUGAAAAGAUUUACAUAUAAUUAUUUGUUAAACUGGAUUUGGUGCCAUGUAGUGUAUAAUUAUAAAAAAAUCAAAAUCAAAAGACUAACUGCAUUUCUUCAAGAGAUCACUUUCCAUUUUUUUGUGAACAACAAUUUAAAGCUAAUGCCAGCAAACUGAUAAUAUUGAACCAAUAAAAUGAUUACAAACUACAACUUACAAUUGACACAACAACAAAAAUGAUUGUCAAGGCAAUAUAUAAUACAAGGAUUUCUAUAUAUAUUUGUCAAAGUAUUUUAUAUAUAUUUGUUCUACCACAUGAUUUAAUUUUUACAGAAAAGUAAUUCAAUGUAAAACGUAAAAUUGUUACAAACUAAUUACAGACAAUUGUUACAUUAAUAUUACUUGUGGAAACACAAGUUCCUUAUCAACCACAGAAAAAAGUUGUUGGUGUAAAAAAAAUGCCACUGUGUGUGCCUCUGAUUUCUUAAUCUGGUUUGCAGUAUCAUAAUAGUAUCUAAGUAUGAUGUCACUACCUUUGAUAUUAUCACCAAGUACUCUAGAUCUGCCAAACACAAUAUAUCAAGAAAAGAACAAAACCUUGAAAAAGACACUGCCUUUACAUAAUAUAUUGAACAUGAACAAGUUGAGUGAUACAAAAAUAUAAAUUCUACCAAAAUUGUACACACAAGAGUAUGUAAAAGUAAGUUAAAAUGGCAUUAAACUUAAAUCUUUAGGUAUAUAGAAAGUGUUAAAGUGUGUCUGUGUCCAUAUUUCUAUAUCAAAUUCGCCAGACAUUACACAUGUAGGCAUAUAAAAGAUGAAUGUAUGGUGAAGUUCGAUUAACUUAUCAUUGAUAAAAAAUACAGUGAUAUCUUUAUGUGCACUAAAACCAUUAUCCUUAAAAAAGCAAAAUGCUAAUUACUGUUACAGGGAAACUUGCUUUACUCAACCCUGAAUCAACCAUAGAUAUCUCAAGUGUUGUACUCUGGAGGAUGAAAUGAUUCUUAAAAGAGCAAAAUGCUAAUUACUAUUACAGUGAAAUCUGCUUAACUCAACCCUGCGUAAACCAUAACCUUUCUAAACUAAACUCAGGUAUAAUGAUAAGAAUACUCAAUGCAUGAAUGUUCUUUAAAAAAAAUUAUAAUGUACAAGGACCAAACUGAAUCCUGUCUGCUAAAAUCCAUUUUUUUUUAUUCUUGAAGGAAUUGUCUUUAGAAGGAUUUAUUAAAACUGUAAUAUAUACAAGUGACAAACUUCUAUCAGUUCUUUCUUCAAUCUUAACAAAUUUUAAACAAAUUACAAUAAAAACCACUGAAUAAAAUCUAUAUAAUUAACAAUAAUGACAUAAAUGUCCUAUAUUUUGACCUGUUAACAUGGCACACAUUUUUAUGACCAAGUCUUGGGGACAGGUCCUUUGGUACAACAGACGAAACAGUGAAUUCUUACAUUUUUGUGUUUGUUUAUGUUCUUGUAAACAUCAGAUAAAAUUGAGAAUGGAAAUCAGAAAAUGUCUCAUCAUAAAAAACAAUGAAAUUUAUGAUUUUUAGAAAAUAAAGAAUGAUGAAUUUACUGGCCAAUAAUUAACAUGAAAUAUGAAAAGAAGUACUGCAAUGUAUUACCUUAAUAUUCAGAAGUUAUUUAAAUUAAAUCUUUGGAUUUAGUUAAUAUCUGUGUCUUUAAAACUUUAAGUUUUAAUAAAUGUUAAG
This 2467-nucleotide long non-coding RNA is filed under the name Mytilus galloprovincialis (Mediterranean mussel). The record is from RNAcentral. Lineage: Eukaryota; Metazoa; Mollusca; Bivalvia; Mytilida; Mytilidae.